RNAcentral lists this unclassified non-coding RNA (314 nucleotides) under Hevea brasiliensis (rubber tree). Lineage: Eukaryota; Viridiplantae; Streptophyta; Magnoliopsida; Malpighiales; Euphorbiaceae. The record is from RNAcentral.
CCGAGAGGAAAUAAAGGAAGGACAGUGGUAAAGGGAGCUGCUGAAGCAAUCUGAAUCCUUCAAAGAUUAUCUAUAUUAUCAAGAAUUCAAGAUUGUUCAGCUAAUAUGAAUGACUUGGAAGCUGGGUAUCCUACAGAAGUCCAAAAAGCUAACAGCAAUGGCGAUCUUCAAAGAUUAUCUCCAUCAUCAAGCAUUCAAGAUCGAUCAGACAAUAUGACUGACUGGGAAGCUGGGAAUCCUACAGAUGUCCAAAACGCUAACAGCAAUGGCGAUUUUGAGUCCUACGGCACAGCAGAUGGCUUGCAUCAAAGGGU